RNAcentral lists this ribosomal RNA (101 nucleotides) under Cephalotus follicularis. The record is from RNAcentral. Lineage: Eukaryota; Viridiplantae; Streptophyta; Magnoliopsida; Oxalidales; Cephalotaceae.
AGGAGCGACCAUACCAGCACGAAUGCAUCAGAUCCCAUCAGAACUUCGAAGUUAAGCGUGCUUGGGAGAGAAUGGUACUAAGACAAACUUUGUCUCAGGAC